UUAAGCGACUAAGCGUACACGGUGGAUGCCCUGGCAGUCAGAGGCGAUGAAGGACGUGCUAAUCUGCGAUAAGCGUCGGUGAGGUGAUAUGAACCGUUAUAACCGGCGAUUUCCGAAUGGGGAAACCCAGUGUGUUUCGACACACUAUCAUUAACUGAAUCCAUAGGUUAAUGAGGCGAACCGGGGGAACUGAAACAUCUAAGUACCCCGAGGAAAAGAAAUCAACCGAGAUUCCCCCAGUAGCGGCGAGCGAACGGGGAGGAGCCCAGAGCCUGAAUCAGUGUGUGUGUUAGUGGAAGCGUCUGGAAAGGCGUGCGAUACAGGGUGACAGCCCCGUACACAAAAAUGCACAUAUUGUGAGCUCGAUGAGUAGGGCGGGACACGUGGUAUCCUGUCUGAAUAUGGGGGGACCAUCCUCCAAGGCUAAAUACUCCUGACUGACCGAUAGUGAACCAGUACCGUGAGGGAAAGGCGAAAAGAACCCCGGCGAGGGGAGUGAAAAAGAACCUGAAACCGUGUACGUACAAGCAGUGGGAGCCUCUUAAUGGGGUGACUGCGUACCUUUUGUAUAAUGGGUCAGCGACUUAUAUUCUGUAGCAAGGUUAACCGAAUAGGGGAGCCGAAGGGAAACCGAGUCUUAACUGGGCGUUAAGUUGCAGGGUAUAGACCCGAAACCCGGUGAUCUAGCCAUGGGCAGGUUGAAGGUUGGGUAACACUAACUGGAGGACCGAACCGACUAAUGUUGAAAAAUUAGCGGAUGACUUGUGGCUGGGGGGGAAAGGCCAAUCAAACCGGGAGAUAGCUGGUUCUCCCCGAAAGCUAUUUAGGUAGCGCCUCGUGAAUUCAUCUCCGGGGGUAGAGCACUGUUUCGGCAAGGGGGUCAUCCCGACUUACCAACCCGAUGCAAACUGCGAAUACCGGAGAAUGUUAUCACGGGAGACACACGGCGGGUGCUAACGUCCGUCGUGAAGAGGGAAACAACCCAGACCGCCAGCUAAGGUCCCAAAGUCAUGGUUAAGUGGGAAACGAUGUGGGAAGGCCCAGACAGCCAGGAUGUUGGCUUAGAAGCAGCCAUCAUUUAAAGAAAGCGUAAUAGCUCACUGGUCGAGUCGGCCUGCGCGGAAGAUGUAACGGGGCUAAACCAUGCACCGAAGCUGCGGCAGCGACACUAUGUGUUGUUGGGUAGGGGAGCGUUCUGUAAGCCUGUGAAGGUGGCCUGUGAGGGUUGCUGGAGGUAUCAGAAGUGCGAAUGCUGACAUAAGUAACGAUAAAGCGGGUGAAAAGCCCGCUCGCCGGAAGACCAAGGGUUCCUGUCCAACGUUAAUCGGGGCAGGGUGAGUCGACCCCUAAGGCGAGGCCGAAAGGCGUAGUCGAUGGGAAACAGGUUAAUAUUCCUGUACUUGGUGUUACUGCGAAGGGGGGACGGAGAAGGCUAUGUUGGCCGGGCGACGGUUGUCCCGGUUUAAGCGUGUAGGCUGGUUUUCCAGGCAAAUCCGGAAAACCAAGGCUGAGGCGUGAUGACGAGGCACUACGGUGCUGAAGUGACAAAUGCCCUGCUUCCAGGAAAAGCCUCUAAGCAUCAGGUAACAUCAAAUCGUACCCCAAACCGACACAGGUGGUCAGGUAGAGAAUACCAAGGCGCUUGAGAGAACUCGGGUGAAGGAACUAGGCAAAAUGGUGCCGUAACUUCGGGAGAAGGCACGCUGAUAUGUAGGUGAAGCGACUUGCUCGUGGAGCUGAAAUCAGUCGAAGAUACCAGCUGGCUGCAACUGUUUAUUAAAAACACAGCACUGUGCAAACACGAAAGUGGACGUAUACGGUGUGACGCCUGCCCGGUGCCGGAAGGUUAAUUGAUGGGGUUAGCGGUAACGCGAAGCUCUUGAUCGAAGCCCCGGUAAACGGCGGCCGUAACUAUAACGGUCCUAAGGUAGCGAAAUUCCUUGUCGGGUAAGUUCCGACCUGCACGAAUGGCGUAAUGAUGGCCAGGCUGUCUCCACCCGAGACUCAGUGAAAUUGAACUCGCUGUGAAGAUGCAGUGUACCCGCGGCAAGACGGAAAGACCCCGUGAACCUUUACUAUAGCUUGACACUGAACAUUGAGCCUUGAUGUGUAGGAUAGGUGGGAGGCUUUGAAGUGUGGACGCCAGUCUGCAUGGAGCCGACCUUGAAAUACCACCCUUUAAUGUUUGAUGUUCUAACGUUGGCCCGUAAUCCGGGUUGCGGACAGUGUCUGGUGGGUAGUUUGACUGGGGCGGUCUCCUCCUAAAGAGUAACGGAGGAGCACGAAGGUUGGCUAAUCCUGGUCGGACAUCAGGAGGUUAGUGCAAUGGCAUAAGCCAGCUUGACUGCGAGCGUGACGGCGCGAGCAGGUGCGAAAGCAGGUCAUAGUGAUCCGGUGGUUCUGAAUGGAAGGGCCAUCGCUCAACGGAUAAAAGGUACUCCGGGGAUAACAGGCUGAUACCGCCCAAGAGUUCAUAUCGACGGCGGUGUUUGGCACCUCGAUGUCGGCUCAUCACAUCCUGGGGCUGAAGUAGGUCCCAAGGGUAUGGCUGUUCGCCAUUUAAAGUGGUACGCGAGCUGGGUUUAGAACGUCGUGAGACAGUUCGGUCCCUAUCUGCCGUGGGCGCUGGAGAACUGAGGGGGGCUGCUCCUAGUACGAGAGGACCGGAGUGGACGCAUCACUGGUGUUCGGGUUGUCAUGCCAAUGGCACUGCCCGGUAGCUAAAUGCGGAAGAGAUAAGUGCUGAAAGCAUCUAAGCACGAAACUUGCCCCGAGAUGAGUUCUCCCUGACUCCUUGAGAGUCCUGAAGGAACGUUGAAGACGACGACGUUGAUAGGCCGGGUGUGUAAGCGCAGCGAUGCGUUGAGCUAACCGGUACUAAUGAACCGUGAGGCUUAACCUU
RNAcentral lists this ribosomal RNA (2902 nucleotides) under Escherichia coli HVH 7 (4-7315031). Its description in RNAcentral is "bacterial LSU rRNA". It matches the Rfam family "Bacterial large subunit ribosomal RNA". RNAcentral also lists the same sequence under 1 other name. Lineage: Bacteria; Pseudomonadati; Pseudomonadota; Gammaproteobacteria; Enterobacterales; Enterobacteriaceae. The record is from RNAcentral.